This 82-nucleotide transfer RNA is filed under the name Escherichia coli. RNAcentral's name for it is "tRNA-Phe". It matches the Rfam family "tRNA". Rfam says of the family: Transfer RNA (tRNA) molecules are approximately 80 nucleotides in length. Their secondary structure includes four short double-helical elements and three loops (D, anti-codon, and T loops). Further hydrogen bonds mediate the characteristic L-shaped molecular structure. tRNAs have two regions of fundamental functional importance: the anti-codon, which is responsible for specific mRNA codon recognition, and the 3' end, to which the tRNAs corresponding amino acid is attached (by aminoacyl-tRNA synthetases). tRNAs cope with the degeneracy of the genetic code in two manners: having more than one tRNA (with a specific anti-codon) for a particular amino acid; and 'wobble' base-pairing, i.e. permitting non-standard base-pairing at the 3rd anti-codon position. Lineage: Bacteria; Pseudomonadati; Pseudomonadota; Gammaproteobacteria; Enterobacterales; Enterobacteriaceae. The record is from RNAcentral.
GCCUGGUUUGCCUGACAAUGCGUGCAAUAGCAGGGGAUUGAAAAUCCCCGUGUCCUUGGUUCGAUUCCGAGUCCGGGCACCA